GACGAACGCUGGCGGCGUGCUUAACACAUGCAAGUCGAACGAAGUGGCGGACGGGUGAGUAACGCGUAAUCAACCUGCCCUUCAGAGGGGGACAACAGUUGGAAACGACUGCUAAUACCGCAUACUGAAGGAGGGGCUUGCGUCUGAUUAGCUAGUUGGAGGGGUAACGGCCCACCAAGGCGAAGAUCAGUAGCCGGUCGGGGGGGGUGGACGGGCACAUUGGGACUGAGGCACGGGCCAGACUCCUUAGGGAGGCAGCAGGGGGGAAACUUCCGCAAUGGGCGAAAGUCUGACGGAGCAAAGCCGCGGGAGUGAUGACGGCCUUCGGGUUGGAAAGCUCUGUUAAUCGGGACGCGGUACCGGAAUAGAAAGCCACGGCUAACUACGUGCCAGCAGCCGCGGUAAUAC
This 408-nucleotide ribosomal RNA is filed under the name uncultured bacterium. RNAcentral's name for it is "partial 16S ribosomal RNA". It matches the Rfam family "Bacterial small subunit ribosomal RNA", at positions 28 to 526 of the family's 1533-position model. The record is from RNAcentral.